Long non-coding RNA from Pecten maximus, 8417 nucleotides. RefSeq lists it as uncharacterized. The transcript has 7 exons. The record is from RefSeq and is a predicted model, not a curated record. Lineage: Eukaryota; Metazoa; Mollusca; Bivalvia; Pectinida; Pectinidae.
GCCGGUCCCAAGCCCGUGUUGAGAAAGGAGGAGGGAAUCACCAACUGACAACAUCUAACAGUCACCCCGGACUAAUGUUCUAACCUAGAGUCGCGAGUAGAGGUUGUAACCUAAAUCGAGACUUUAAACCAGCAACAUCAACUCACAUCAUGUUGUAGUCGCGCAUGCAUAAAAACGUAAACAAACAUGGUAGAGUGUGCGCCAUUGGGCUACAUCAGCAGCUCUAACGAUGGCAAGAAAACUAGAAUGCUUUGGUCUCCAGAAGAUAAGAAAUGUCGGACAGCAAACAUCGACAGUAAAAAUGAAGAGACGACUUUCUCCAUCAUCACACAGGAUUGUGUCAAGACAACACGUGUUUUCGGAGAGAUCCGCGGUAGAUGUUAGUCGCGUAUGAACCGAUCAGCCCCCGACAGAAGCCUGGAGCAAUUCCAACCAAUUUUGAUUACUCAUCCCCUCACUCUACCUCAUUUCAUCACUCUACAACUCCAUUGAAAGAUAACUACUUCUAAAUGGAAUCACCGAAUCAGAGACCUAUAUUAAUAUCUAUAGGUUCAGAGAGGAGGAGGAGGAGUUCAAAAGACCGGAGAGUGGAGGACAGGGGAAAACACAUUCCUGUUGAUUGCCCGGACUGAAAUUGAACCCGGGAUCACCGGAUCACCGGAUCACCGGGGUAAUAAGCCACCUAUCUACCUCGUGCACCAAAGAAGGAUGCUUUGUUGGCUGAGUGACAGAGACUGUAUUUACACUACAUGUAUGUACAAGCCACACCGACCUGUUCCUGUUACACAUGUAUUAUCAGAUUCAGGUAUUAAGGAUUAAAAAAAAAGAUUAAGGAAUACAUUUUCGUAACAUAGAAUUUAUAAGAAAUUUAGUAAGGCCUAAAAAAAUAACCGUAUGUAUACUGACCCUAUAUAUUUGUGCCUACCCUGAAUUUUUUUUGGUAACUUUUCUAUAACCUUAGUAAAAACUACUUUGAAAAUGUCAUUUAUAAAGAUAAAAAAAAAAGGUAGUGGGCCGACCACUGUCCCCUGGUAUGGGGUACCCGGAGAGGACAGAUGCGCUGUUUAUUGUCCCCUUAGGUACCCUGGAGAGGAUGGGGGCGCUAUCUGUUGUCCCCUUAGGUACCCUGGAGAGGAUGGGGCGCUAUCUGUUGUCCCCUUAGGUACCCUGGAGAGGAUGGGGGUGCUAUCUAUUGUCCCCAUAGGUACCCCAGAGAGGAUUGAGGCGCUACUAGUAUCUGUUGUCCCCUUUGGUACCCUGGAGAGGACAGUGGUGCUAUCUGUUGUCCUCUGAGGUACCAUGUAGAGGAUGGGGCGCUAUCUGUUGUCCCCUUUGGUACCCUGGAGAGGACAGUGGUGCUAUCUGUUGUCCCCUUAGGUACCCUGGAGAGGAUGGGGACGCUAUCUGUUGUCCUCUGAGUUACCCUGGAGAGGAAGGGGGCGCUAUCUGUUGUCAUCUGAGUUACCCUGGAGAGGAAAGGGUGCUAUCUGUUGUCAUCUGAGUUACCCUGGAGAGGAAAGGGUGCUAUCUGUUGUCAUCUGAGUUACCCUGGAGAGGAUUGGGGUGCUAUCUGUUGUCAUCUGAGUUACCCUGGAGAGGAUGGGGGCGCUAUCUGUUGUCAUCUGAGUUACCCUGGAGAGGAUUGGGGUGCUAUCUGUUGUCCCCUCAGGUACCCUGGAGAGGAUGGGGACGCUAUCUGUUGUCCUCUUAGGUACCCUGGAGAGGACAGUGGUGCUAUCUGUUGUCCUCUGAGGUACCCUGGAGAGGAUGGGGCGCUAUCAGUUGUCCCCAUAGGUACCAUGGAGAGGAGGGGGGCACUAUCUGUUGUCUCCUUAUAUUAGGUACCGUGGAGAGGAUGGGGCGCUAUCUGUUAUCCCAUUAGGUACCCUGGAGAGUAUGGGGGCACUAUCUGUUGACCCCUUCGGUACCCUAGAGAGGAUGGGGGCACUAUCUGUUGGCCCCUUAGGUACCCUGGAGAGGAUGGGGGCGCUAUCUGUUGGGCCCUUAGGUACCUUGGAGUGGAUGAGGGCGCUAUCUUUUGUCCUCUGAGGUACCCUGGAGAGGAUGGGGGCACUAUCUGUUGUCCCCUUAGGUACCCUGGAGAGGAGGGGGGCACUAUCUGUUGUCCCCUUAGGUACCCCAGAGAGGACGGUGGCGUUAUCAGAGCAGGUUCCAUGUAGUACCACCUUUUAGUAUUUAGAGAGAGAAAAAAAGAGACAAAAACCAGAGAAGAACUUCCUUGAUAACAUAAAAUCUUAGAUAGUAGUCUGGAGUGAGGAACUUUGUCAAACAAGAAUUCUAACUUUGUUUAUUUUUGUCAUGGUUCCUUGUGUAAAGUCAUCAAUAGUAAGAAUACAUUGUGUUUCAGUAGAGUGUGGAUCUGAAGUCAUGUUGAAGAUUUGUUAAAAUGUUGUGUUGUUCAAGGUGAAACAUGAUGUUACUGUGUAGUAUAUGUUCAAGAAACUUACAGGUAAUAAUAGUCUAGAAAGUUUUUGAAAACUGGUACUACAUUUGCCUCCCGCAAGUCAGAUAUGGGACAGUACCAGAAUCUAUGGAAGUUUGGAAAAGAUAUGUAAGGGCUGUAGUGAUUACAGUAACCAGUUGUUUGAGAGCUCUAGCUGGUAUAUUGUCUGGGCCAGUAGCUAUAUGUACCUGUAUGUUCUGUAGCAGUUUGUGAACACCUGUCUCACUUAAGAUGAUAGGAGACAUUGUUGGAAAUGGAGAGCGACCCAUGUCUGGUAUAACCAAAAGAUUUUCUUUGGUGAAAAUAGACUGAAACUGCUUGUUCAAUAUAGUACCUUAGAUGCAUUUAUGAUCAGAAUAGUUGAUACCAUCUCUGAUUUCUUAUUGGAUGAAUGCUUUUUGUGUGCUAUCUUUUUACAUUUGAAAAGCUCCAGAAUUUCUUAGGUUUUUCUGUAAGCUGGCUGCUGAUAAUUUCCACUGUUAGGCAAAGUAUUAUAUACAAUGUAAUUUAUUCAGGAUACAAAUAAUUAUUUUUCCAUUUAAAAUCUGAAAGAUACAAUCAGAGGCUCAAGCUUUUGGAGGGUGGUAAUAACAUAAAGUACUGUAUAUUUAACUUUGAAUAUUGAACUGUCUAUUCUUGUUUUAAAUUGAUCAUACAAUUGUACUUUUUGUCAGAUCUGUAGCAUCUUUUAUCAUUUUUGCAUACUCUGUGUAGUGUCGCAAUAUAACGGGAGGUAACUGAGGAGGUACUUGUCUAGGUAAACCCCACACAAAGAAAUAAUAUUUGUUGAAAUAUUCAACAUAUCUUGUGUUAAAACAACAGAUAAUUCAAGAAUAUUGUGUUAGCCUUAAAUACAGGUGGAUUUAAUUUGGAGCAAGCUCCAUUGUUUGAGAAAACAGCUACAGCCCUUGGACAUCUGGGUUUGGUAGGACCACAACUUCUACAGCCCAGACAUCUAGGUUUGGUACAACCACAACUUCUACAGCCCUGACAUCUGGGUUUGGUACGACCACAACCACUACAGCCCUGACAUCUGGGUUUGGUACGACCACAACUUCUACAGCCGGACAUCUGGGUUUGGUACAACCACAACUUCUACAGCCCCGACAUCUGGGUUUGGUACAACCACAACUUCUACAGCCCCGACAUCUGGGUUUGGUACGACCACAACUUCUACAGCCCUGACAUUUGGGUUUGGUACGACCACAACCACUACAGCCCUGACAUCUAGGUUUGGUACGACCACAACCACUACAGCCCUGACAUCUGGGUUUGGUACGACCACAACCACUACAGCCCUGACAUCUGGGUUUGGUACGACCACAACCACUACAGCCCUCGGACAUCUGGGUUUGGUACGACCACAACUUCUACAGCCCUGACAUCUGGGUUUGGUACGACCACAAAUUCUACAGCCGCUCCAAUGACCAAACUCUCCAAGGUGGAGGUGGUAUAUGUCUGGGUUUAAUCUUGAUGGAGCCAGCACAACUGGGUCAGGUCUUUUGGGCAGUGGAAUGUCUACAAACACUGGUCUGUUUGGUGGCGUUAACCAGCAGCAGCAGAAACAACGGCAGCAACAACAGCAGCAUCAACAGAAUCUCCAAAGUCUGGAGAACCGUGGUACCUCCAUCACCACACCACAGCUGUACUGUGAUGAACGAGAUGCCAUCAGCGCUAAGUGGAACUAGCUCCAGGCAUACUGGGACACUGGCAAGGGCUAUUUCAGACAGAAUGGUUGAGUGACCUUCACCCCAGUGAAUCUUUAACUGUAAAUUUAAGGUAACUUAAGGUGUAGAGAACCUUUUAUGUAUAAUGCGUUAAAUGCACGGUGUUCAUGAAAUAGUAAAUGCCACCCAUUUAAAGACUUUCUGGGUUUGACACCAUCCAGGGUUAUCCCCGACACAGAUUUCCUGUGUCUUAGACGCAGAAAAUCUUAAAGGGCUCUGGUACAAACUAAAUGUCUGCAUGGAUGCAUUGUAAUUCCAAAAUCUGCCAUACAAUGAAGAAAUAACAGUUGAUUUUGAUUGACACUAGUAUUUCAUUGUUUGUAUAUUAUUACUUCAGGCAACAUUGUUAUACCUGAUGAGCAACUUUGAUGCUGGAAAUGCUUUACCAUGAUUUUGUCAAUUUUUAAAUGUCAUGGAACUCCUGGAUUUUACAAUGGGACUCCCGCUUUUCCCAUCCGAGAGUCCCCGGGACCCUGCAUAACAAAAUUUACAUUUCUUUUACAUUUUUAAUUUGGAACAAAAAUUUCAUUAAAAAAUUAUACAAAUACUAUCAGAGAAAAGAGCAAAUAAUUCUCAAUGUGUUUGUGAAAUUUGAUAAAUUCCAUUGAGAGAUAGACAUUAAAACUGAUUUUAAAUUUGUUAAAAUGAAUGAAAUUUAUAUAUCAUGUAAGUAACAAUGUCAUGUGAUCAAAUACUUUUGGCAUGUCUUUGUUAAGGGUAGGUAUGUAAUAACUGUAGGCCAAAAGGUGUGUAGCAUACUUAUUCAAUCAUUUGUGAAUUAUAAUUAUAUAAAUUAAGCCAUAUAUAUAAUCCUCAACCUUAGAUGGAGAAGCAUGCUAAUUAUAAACACUACAUAGACAUGGUAACGACAACAUUCUACUACAUGUCAAAUCCAUACUUCAAUGAUCAUGUAAUAACUGUAGUCCCUUCUAGGCAUAAACAAUUUGUUAUUGUUUGAACUAUCUGAAAUGUGGAUCAUAUAUGAAUCAGCAGGGUUCAAACAAUCACUAGCUAGGUAAUUAUUGUUGUUAUGUAUAACAUACAUGUUCAAACUAUCCACCGGAGGUUUACCAUAAUCCUCUUUCUAUGUAAAAUUAUGAAUAUCACUCACUUGGUUUCCAUUGAUCAGUUUCCUUAUCUAAUUAUGUAUAUUGAUGAUUUACCAGGCCAUAGGGUACAGGUGUCUACCAAAGUUUUGUAAUGAAGACAAGCGUUUGGCCAUCACAAUCAAGAAGAAGGAGUCAGAAGUGUCUGCUGGACAGUAGCUGAUCCUCUACUCCCCGUUCAAGAUGUUGGGUAGCAGCCUGGGUGUUCUGUCGGACAUGAGGCCACUACCAGAUAACAAGUCAAUCCCACAUCAUCUACCACAUGACUGUCUUGCCACAUGUGCCUUAUAUUUCAGAAUUGGUCAAUUUUACUGUACACCACUACUGUACCUUAUAAGGGAUUGAAUUUUUUUUUUGUAAUAUCAGGUUUUAUCAUGCUUGAUUAAACUUCAUUGCUCGAAACAACAUAAAAAAAACAACUAAGACUUGAUAAACAUCAAUCGUGUCAUCGUGGGAUUACUAAAGGAAAAUAACUCACUCUCAUAUCUGUUCAAUUUAUUGGUGGGUUUAUAAUCAUAAUAUUCAGUGUAUUAGUGUUAAUUAGAUAAUUAUUUUAUGUUGAAGUGUAUAUAAAACAAAGCCAAAAUAAUUGAUAGGAUAUCAGCCUGUAUCCAUGGAAACUAAUGAAGGAAGUGAUAUUUUUGGAAUUAUUGGUGAAAUCACUACAUGUGUAUUUUCAAUUUAUUUACACAAUGAUAAUUAUCAUGUGUUUAUUUUUGAAAGACUGAGUGUAGGGCAGAGCUGGUGAUAUAUAUUGUGGAAUGACCUGACCAAAGACAAGCUUGGACAAUUCCAACUCUGGACACAGCAAAAACUAAAACAACAUAAUUUCUAACAUAGCUGCUGUCACAGAUCAUGGCUGAAGACGUCUGUCAAAGACUGGAUUCACAAGGAACAACACAAAAAAAGCUAGGACAACAACCCUUCAGUUUCAGUAGUGAACUCAGCAGCAGCAGCAUCAAGGUAUUUGGCCGUAACUCUGGGCGAUCAUUAAUGGUAGGCUACUCUGACCAUUACCUCUCUGACUUUGUUUUACAUCAGAAAUCACGAAAAACUAAGUAGUGAUUUGGAGGUCGCUGUUCAGCAUUCUGUGUUGGACGAACCUAUUGGUGAAGAAGUUUGAAUUAUAGCUGAUACUGAUCAAUGGUGUGUCACUGUGGCGAGUAGUAGGGAUGUGGACAAGCCCUUUGAACCUCUUACCAAGCCAGUAAUAGCGUCUCAACUUGUAUGCAACCUCAUGGAAGAAGUCCUUCAACUUUGUAAACUAAAGAUGAGUUCAGAAUUUUGUCUCAUGCAUUUAGAAGAUGGACUGCAGGAAAUUUUCUUCAAGAGCAAAAUGUUGGCAGAAUAUCUGAAGGAUUUUAAGAAAUGUAAUAUCAAAGAGCUCACACAGUUGUUAGGGUUAAACUGAUUGUCAAUCAAAUGGUGACGUUUUUUUUAUUCAUUUAACUCUUAUUGAGUUAAAAAUCUGUUGGUUUCACUGUCAAUAUCCCCUGCUUGGAGGAACAACUCUAAACAAACCUACUACACCAGACUCUAUAGAUUGUUGUUAUUGGUAUGGCUAACUUAAAAUUCAACCAUGUUGAAUUAUUGUCGCUUGUUUAUUUGUUCACAAACUUACAGGUAUUUUUGAAGAAAUCAAUAGGUAAUUGCAAAACAAUUCAACAUCUUAGAAGAAUUUCAUUAAUAAAAAUUUUAAAGACAGGUUAGGUUGCAGUUAAGAUUCAAGAAAUAUGAAUUUAUAUUUUAUUGUUAAUGAUUAUUAGCUCACCUGCCCGAAGGGCUGGGCAGGUGAGCUUAUGCCGUGGUGCGUUGUCCGUCUGUCUGUCAACUUUUCAUUUAAACUACUUAUUCUCAAGAAGCCCAGGGACUUGAUAUUGGACCUGUAGCAUGCUAGGGUGAAGGGCUACCAAGUUUGUUCAAAUAAAUGACCUUGACCUUCAUUAAAGGUCACAUGGGUCAAAAGAGCUAUAAUCUUCUAACAAGUUCUUCUCAAUAACCACAAGGCACAUGGACUUGAUAUUGGGUCUGUAGCAUGCUGGGGUUAUGGGCUACCCAAUUUGUCCAAAUGAAUGACCUUGACCUUCAUUCAAGGUUACAUGGGUCAAAUAGGCUAUCCUCUUCAAAUGACUUCUUCUCAAUAACCAAUAGGCAUAGGGACUUGAUAUUGGGUCUGUAUCAUGCUGGGGUGAAGGGCUCUGAAGUUUGUUCAAAUAAAUGACCUUGACCUACAUUCAUGGUCACAGAGGUGAAAUCAGUUUAAAUCUGUAAACAAUGAUUUUGCGAUAGCCAAGAAUCUCUGAAACCUGAUAUUAGGCAAAUAUGCUGGAAUGAAGGACUAGAAAAUUUAUUGAUAUGAAAAACCCAGCAUACACUGAUAUUUGAAUAAAGAGGUAAUCAGCAUAGUAUGUGUAGAAAGGACCUCAAUCAAAUUCAAAGUUGCGAUAGAGCCAGGUGAGCAAUACAGGCCCAUUGGGCCUCUUGUUUAAGAUUGUUAGAAAUCAUUACAAGUACAUGAUUGUAGUAAAUACAACAAAAACUCUAACUCUAGAAGUUAUUGUAAUGAAUGUUAUAAAGAUUAUAAUCCAUCAAUCAAUUCCUCAGUAUAAAUCAAGUCUGACAUUAUGCCACUUGCUUUGUUCCCGCUGUUUUAUUUCAAUCAAUUAUUUAAAAUGGGUCAUUUCUUAUUAAAACCAUGUCAGUAUUUCUAAAAAAAAUUGGUGUCAAACCAAAAAACUUUAUUUCAUUUGAUAGUGUUUGGGCAAAUGAAUUGCUGGUUGCAAGUUGAAAUGUGUAUGAACUGUAUUAUGUAUGAACACAAAGCAUAUUUCUUGAUACUUAUCUAUGCUCUACAGAAGGUUUGCUCAGCUCUUGUUUUAUAAUGUUACCACAAUGACUGCAUGAUGUGUUCUGUCUUUGUGAAUCAUGCAUAUGUGAUUGCCAUAUACACGAGUGUGAAAGUGUGUUUAUGUAUCUACAUAUCUGCAUUUCUUACCUGGUUAAGAGUGUAUAUGAUAUAUUAAAAUAUGUAUUGGUGCUCCAGUAAAUAAUCUUCCUGUGCCAUUUAGUUUGACAUUUCUUGUGUAAUUUAUAAUAAAAAGUAUAAUUUCAUUUCCUGUU